This 499-nucleotide ribosomal RNA is filed under the name uncultured bacterium. Its description in RNAcentral is "partial 16S ribosomal RNA". It matches the Rfam family "Bacterial small subunit ribosomal RNA", at positions 28 to 507 of the family's 1533-position model. The record is from RNAcentral.
GACGAACGCUGGCGGCGUGCCUAAUACAUGCAAGUCGAGCGAAGUUUUUCUGGUGCUUGCACUAGAAAAACUUAGCGGCGAACGGGUGAGUAACACGUAAAGAACCUGCCUCAUAGACUGGGACAACUAUUGGAAACGAUAGCUAAUACCGGAUAACAGUAUUUCUCGCAUGAGAGAUAUUUAAAAGUUGGUUAUGCUAGCACUAUGAGAUGGCUUUGCGGUGCAUUAGCUAGUUGGUGGGGUAAAGGCCCACCAAGGCGACGAUGCAUAGCCGACCUGAGAGGGUGAUCGGCCACACUGGGACUGAGACACGGCCCAGACUCCUACGGGAGGCAGCAGUAGGGAAUCUUCCGCAAUGGGCGAAAGCCUGACGGAGCAACGCCGCGUGAGUGAAGAAGGAUUUCGGUUCGUAAAGCUCUGUUGUUAGGGAAGAAUGGAUAUGUAGUAACUAUACAUGUAAGAGACGGUACCUAACCAGAAAGCCACGGCUAACUACGUG